CCAGACUUACGAGCAGUCAAAAGCCUGUGAUAUUGUUGCACGUUUUCCCGAGAAGAUCCCUGCAAGACCUAGAGCGUGUGCUUGGUGGCAUUGCCCUCUAAGUCCAUGCUUCAACAAGAAAGCGAGCUGUAGGAAAAACUGGAGAUAAUUGUCUUGUCUUUCGUCUUUUAACUUGCUUCUGACAAAGGUCAAAAGCUUAGGAGAAAGUAACUCCUAACAGAUGAUUGUAGAAGGGCACGUUUAAAGGCCUCUUGCUGAACUGUCGGUUGUGGCAAAUAACUCGGUCCUCUGCAAGAGAAGUGGAAUUCCCAGCUGUGAUGCUGGAACUGCAAUUCCUGGUAACAGUGUCUGCUUCUGAUUUGACUGCAGUUUUACUCCUGGAAAUU
Molecule: long non-coding RNA, 386 nt
Filed under: Apteryx owenii (little spotted kiwi)
Lineage: Eukaryota; Metazoa; Chordata; Aves; Apterygiformes; Apterygidae
Description: lncRNA (ENSAOWG00000013517.1)
Source: RNAcentral